This 23-nucleotide microRNA is filed under the name Branchiostoma floridae (Florida lancelet). RNAcentral's name for it is "Bfl-Mir-10-P10_5p (mature (guide))". Lineage: Eukaryota; Metazoa; Chordata; Leptocardii; Amphioxiformes; Branchiostomatidae. RNAcentral also lists the same sequence under 1 other name. The record is from RNAcentral.
AACCCUGUGGAUCCGAUCUUGUG